This 253-nucleotide ribosomal RNA is filed under the name uncultured bacterium. RNAcentral's name for it is "partial 16S ribosomal RNA". It matches the Rfam family "Bacterial small subunit ribosomal RNA", at positions 524 to 776 of the family's 1533-position model. The record is from RNAcentral.
UACGGGGGGGGUAAGCGUUGUUCGGAAUUACUGGGCGUAAAGGGCUCGUAGGCGGCCAACUAAGUCGGACGUGAAAUCCCUCAGCUUAACUGGGGAACUGCGUCCGAUACUGGAUGGCUUGGAUUUGGGAGAGGGAUGCGGAAUUCCAGGUGUAGCGGUGAAAUGCGUAGAUAUCUGGAGGAACACCGGUGGCGAAGGCGGCAUCCUGGACCAUGACUGACGCUGAGGAGCGAAAGCCAGGGGAGCAAACGGG